UACGUAGGUGGCGAGCGUUGUCCGGAUUUACUGGGUGUAAAGGGCGCGUAGGCGGGAUCGCAAGUCAGGUGUGAAAUCUAUGGGCUUAACCCAUAAACUGCACUUGAAACUGCGAUUCUUGAGUGUCGGAGAGGUAGACGGAAUUCCUAGUGUAGCGGUGAAAUGCGUAGAUAUUAGGAGGAACACCAGUGGCGAAGGCGGUCUACUGGACGAUAACUGACGCUGAGGCGCGAAAGCGUGGGGAGCAAAC
RNAcentral lists this ribosomal RNA (250 nucleotides) under uncultured prokaryote. RNAcentral's name for it is "partial 16S ribosomal RNA". It matches the Rfam family "Bacterial small subunit ribosomal RNA", at positions 524 to 773 of the family's 1533-position model. The record is from RNAcentral.